RNAcentral lists this ribosomal RNA (253 nucleotides) under uncultured bacterium. RNAcentral's name for it is "partial 16S ribosomal RNA". It matches the Rfam family "Bacterial small subunit ribosomal RNA", at positions 524 to 776 of the family's 1533-position model. The record is from RNAcentral.
UACAGAGGUCCCAAGCGUUGUUCGGAUUCACUGGGCGUAAAGGGCUCGUAGGCGGCCGGCUAAGUCCGACGUGAAAUCCCCAGGCUUAACCUGGGAACUGCGUCGGAUACUGGCGGGCUUGAAUUCGGGAGAGGGAUGCGGAAUUCCAGGUGUAGCGGUGAAAUGCGUAGAUAUCUGGAGGAACACCGGUGGCGAAGGCGGCAUCCUGGACCGGCAUUGACGCUGAAUAGCGAAAGCCAGGGGAGCAAACGGG